UCGCGUCGUCUUUCUGUCCUGCACGGCUCUCAAUGCUGGGGCCCAGCUCGCCGCUUGUUCCCAGGGGUCGCAGGGGCAGCCAUGGCUCAGGACCCUGCUUGCUGGGAGAUAGCACUCCAUGCUGAGCGAGGAUGCAGAAAGGCUGCAAAUCCAGAGCUACAAAGUCACAACCGCAAGGGGAGGUCUUCAGCGGAUCUCGGUGCCUCCACUCCCACGGCAAGCGUUGCUUGACUAGUUCUUUGUGCCCUAAACAGCAAUUAAGGAUCAAAGUGGAUCUGCCUUUGCCCGCACCAGGCAUCUCCGUCUGACUCCCGUCUGCUCGCUGCGGCGCGGCUCUGAUUUCCAGCUCCUGCCUUGCUUAUUUAACAUUCUGGAGCCUGUUUUGAGUGCCCCAAUAUUUUAAAAUAAA
This is a long non-coding RNA of Trachemys scripta elegans, 409 nucleotides long. RefSeq lists it as uncharacterized. The transcript has 3 exons. NCBI's taxonomy places the organism in Eukaryota, Metazoa, Chordata, Testudines, Emydidae. The record is from RefSeq and is a predicted model, not a curated record.